RNAcentral lists this ribosomal RNA (461 nucleotides) under uncultured Bdellovibrio sp. RNAcentral describes it as "bacterial SSU rRNA". It matches the Rfam family "Bacterial small subunit ribosomal RNA", at positions 29 to 505 of the family's 1533-position model. Lineage: Bacteria; Pseudomonadati; Bdellovibrionota; Bdellovibrionia; Bdellovibrionales; Pseudobdellovibrionaceae. The record is from RNAcentral.
AACAAACGCUGGCGGCGUGCCUAAUACAUGCAAGUCGAACGAGAAAGUCCUUUCGGGGGCGAGUACAGUGGCGCACGGGUGAGGAACACGUGGAUAAUCUGCCUUCUAGUGGGGAACAACCAGCCGAAAGGUUGGCUAAUACCGCAUAAGACCACAGUAGCUGCGGCUACAGGGGUUAAAGAUUUAUCGCUAGAAGAUGAGUCCGCGUCCGAUUAGCUUGUUGGUGAGGUAAUGGCUCACCAAGGCUCCGAUCGGUAACUGGUCUGAGAGGAUGAUCAGUCACACUGGAACUGAGACACGGUCCAGACUCCUACGGGAGGCAGCAGUAGGGAAUAUUGCACAAUGGAGGAAACUCUGAUGCAGCGACGCCGCGUGAGUGACGAAGGCCUUCGGGUUGUAAAGCUCUGUUCUAUGGGAAUAAGUUCUGAAGGUACCAUAGAAGAAAGGACCGGCUAACUUCG